GGUUAAGCGACUAAGCGUACACGGUGGAUGCCCUGGCAGUCAGAGGCGAUGAAGGACGUGCUAAUCUGCGAUAAGCGUCGGUAAGGUGAUAUGAACCGUUAUAACCGGCGAUUUCCGAAUGGGGAAACCCAGUGUGUUUCGACACACUAUCAUUAACUGAAUCCAUAGGUUAAUGAGGCGAACCGGGGGAACUGAAACAUCUAAGUACCCCGAGGAAAAGAAAUCAACCGAGAUUCCCCCAGUAGCGGCGAGCGAACGGGGAGCAGCCCAGAGCCUGAAUCAGUGUGUGUGUUAGUGGAAGCGUCUGGAAAGGCGCGCGAUACAGGGUGACAGCCCCGUACACAAAAAUGCACAUGCUGUGAGCUCGAUGAGUAGGGCGGGACACGUGGUAUCCUGUCUGAAUAUGGGGGGACCAUCCUCCAAGGCUAAAUACUCCUGACUGACCGAUAGUGAACCAGUACCGUGAGGGAAAGGCGAAAAGAACCCCGGCGAGGGGAGUGAAAAAGAACCUGAAACCGUGUACGUACAAGCAGUGGGAGCACGCUUAGGCGUGUGACUGCGUACCUUUUGUAUAAUGGGUCAGCGACUUAUAUUCUGUAGCAAGGUUAACCGAAUAGGGGAGCCGAAGGGAAACCGAGUCUUAACUGGGCGUUAAGUUGCAGGGUAUAGACCCGAAACCCGGUGAUCUAGCCAUGGGCAGGUUGAAGGUUGGGUAACACUAACUGGAGGACCGAACCGACUAAUGUUGAAAAAUUAGCGGAUGACUUGUGGCUGGGGGUGAAAGGCCAAUCAAACCGGGAGAUAGCUGGUUCUCCCCGAAAGCUAUUUAGGUAGCGCCUCGUGAAUUCAUCUCCGGGGGUAGAGCACUGUUUCGGCAAGGGGGUCAUCCCGACUUACCAACCCGAUGCAAACUGCGAAUACCGGAGAAUGUUAUCACGGGAGACACACGGCGGGUGCUAACGUCCGUCGUGAAGAGGGAAACAACCCAGACCGCCAGCUAAGGUCCCAAAGUCAUGGUUAAGUGGGAAACGAUGUGGGAAGGCCCAGACAGCCAGGAUGUUGGCUUAGAAGCAGCCAUCAUUUAAAGAAGCGUAAUAGCUCACUGGUCGAGUCGGCCUGCGCGGAAGAUGUAACGGGGCUAAACCAUGCACCGAAGCUGCGGCAGCGACGCUUAUGCGUUGUUGGGUAGGGGAGCGUUCUGUAAGCCUGUGAAGGUGUGCUGUGAGGCAUGCUGGAGGUAUCAGAAGUGCGAAUGCUGACAUAAGUAACGAUAAAGCGGGUGAAAAGCCCGCUCGCCGGAAGACCAAGGGUUCCUGUCCAACGUUAAUCGGGGCAGGGUGAGUCGACCCCUAAGGCGAGGCCGAAAGGCGUAGUCGAUGGGAAACAGGUUAAUAUUCCUGUACUUGGUGUUACUGCGAAGGGGGGACGGAGAAGGCUAUGUUGGCCGGGCGACGGUUGUCCCGGUUUAAGCGUGUAGGCUGGUUUUCCAGGCAAAUCCGGAAAAUCAAGGCUGAGGCGUGAUGACGAGGCACUACGGUGCUGAAGCAACAAAUGCCCUGCUUCCAGGAAAAGCCUCUAAGCAUCAGGUAACAUCAAAUCGUACCCCAAACCGACACAGGUGGUCAGGUAGAGAAUACCAAGGCGCUUGAGAGAACUCGGGUGAAGGAACUAGGCAAAAUGGUGCCGUAACUUCGGGAGAAGGCACGCUGAUAUGUAGGUGAAGUCCCUCGCGGAUGGAGCUGAAAUCAGUCGAAGAUACCAGCUGGCUGCAACUGUUUAUUAAAAACACAGCACUGUGCAAACACGAAAGUGGACGUAUACGGUGUGACGCCUGCCCGGUGCCGGAAGGUUAAUUGAUGGGGUUAGCCGCAAGGCGAAGCUCUUGAUCGAAGCCCCGGUAAACAGCGGCCGUAACUAUAACGGUCCUAAGGUAGCGAAAUUCCUUGUCGGGUAAGUUCCGACCUGCACGAAUGGCGUAAUGAUGGCCAGGCUGUCUCCACCCGAGACUCAGUGAAAUUGAACUCGCUGUGAAGAUGCAGUGUACCCGCGGCAAGACGGAAAGACCCCGUGAACCUUUACUAUAGCUUGACACUGAACAUUGAGCCUUGAUGUGUAGGAUAGGUGGGAGGCUUAGAAGUGUGGACGCCAGUCUGCAUGGAGCCGACCUUGAAAUACCACCCUUUAAUGUUUGAUGUUCUAACGUUGACCCGUAAUCCGGGUUGCGGACAGUGUCUGGUGGGUAGUUUGACUGGGGCGGUCUCCUCCUAAAGAGUAACGGAGGAGCACGAAGGUUGGCUAAUCCUGGUCGGACAUCAGGAGGUUAGUGCAAUGGCAUAAGCCAGCUUGACUGCGAGCGUGACGGCGCGAGCAGGUGCGAAAGCAGGUCAUAGUGAUCCGGUGGUUCUGAAUGGAAGGGCCAUCGCUCAACGGAUAAAAGGUACUCCGGGGAUAACAGGCUGAUACCGCCCAAGAGUUCAUAUCGACGGCGGUGUUUGGCACCUCGAUGUCGGCUCAUCACAUCCUGGGGCUGAAGUAGGUCCCAAGGGUAUGGCUGUUCGCCAUUUAAAGUGGUACGCGAGCUGGGUUUAGAACGUCGUGAGACAGUUCGGUCCCUAUCUGCCGUGGGCGCUGGAGAACUGAGGGGGGCUGCUCCUAGUACGAGAGGACCGGAGUGGACGCAUCACUGGUGUUCGGGUUGUCAUGCCAAUGGCACUGCCCGGUAGCUAAAUGCGGAAGAGAUAAGUGCUGAAAGCAUCUAAGCACGAAACUUGCCCCGAGAUGAGUUCUCCCUGACUCCUUGAGAGUCCUGAAGGAACGUUGAAGACGACGACGUUGAUAGGCCGGGUGUGUAAGCGCAGCGAUGCGUUGAGCUAACCGGUACUAAUGAACCGUGAGGCUUAACCUU
Molecule: ribosomal RNA, 2905 nt
Filed under: Escherichia coli
Lineage: Bacteria; Pseudomonadati; Pseudomonadota; Gammaproteobacteria; Enterobacterales; Enterobacteriaceae
Description: 23S ribosomal RNA
Rfam family: Bacterial large subunit ribosomal RNA
Source: RNAcentral